RNAcentral lists this ribosomal RNA (443 nucleotides) under uncultured Pseudomonas sp. RNAcentral describes it as "bacterial SSU rRNA". It matches the Rfam family "Bacterial small subunit ribosomal RNA", at positions 939 to 1382 of the family's 1533-position model. The record is from RNAcentral. Lineage: Bacteria; Pseudomonadati; Pseudomonadota; Gammaproteobacteria; Pseudomonadales; Pseudomonadaceae.
AUGUGGUUUAAUUCGAAGCAACGCGAAGAACCUUACCAGGCCUUGACAUGCAGAGAACUUUCCAGAGAUGGAUUGGUGCCUUCGGGAACUCUGACACAGGUGCUGCAUGGCUGUCGUCGGCUCGUGUCGUGAGAUGUUGGGUUAAGUCCGUAACGAGCGCAACCCUUGUCCUUAGUUACCAGCACGUUAUGGUGGGCACUCUAAGGAGACUGCCGGUGACAAACCGGAGGAAGGUGGGGAUGACGUCAAGUCAUCAUGGCCCUUACGGCCUGGGCUACACACGUGCUACAAUGGUCGGUACAAAGGGUUGCCAAGCCGCGAGGUGGAGCUAAUCCCAUAAAACCGAUCGUAGUCCGGAUCGCAGUCUGCAACUCGACUGCGUGAAGUCGGAAUCGCUAGUAAUCGUGAAUCAGAAUGUCACGGUGAAUACGUUCCCGGGCCUU